This 218-nucleotide unclassified non-coding RNA is filed under the name soil metagenome. RNAcentral describes it as "partial contains 5.8S ribosomal RNA, internal transcribed spacer 2, and large subunit ribosomal RNA". The record is from RNAcentral.
AACCUUAUGGACCUGCGGGCGUAUACCUGCGGAAGGAUCAUUACAAGUGACCCCGGUCUAACCACCGGGAUGUUCAUAACCCUUUGUUGUCCGACUCUGUUGCCUCCGGGGCGACCCUGCCUUCGGGCGGGGGCUCCGGGUGGACACUUCAAACUCUUGCGUAACUUUGCAGUCUGAGUAAACUUAAUUAAUAAAUUAAAACUUUUAACAAUGGAUCU